This 320-nucleotide ribosomal RNA is filed under the name uncultured bacterium. RNAcentral's name for it is "bacterial SSU rRNA". It matches the Rfam family "Bacterial small subunit ribosomal RNA", at positions 470 to 789 of the family's 1533-position model. The record is from RNAcentral.
UGACGGUACCUGACUAAGAAGCCCCGGCUAACUACGUGCCAGCAGCCGCGGUAAUACGUAGGGGGCAAGCGUUAUCCGGAUUUACUGGGUGUAAAGGGAGCGUAGACGGAUCGGCAAGUCUGAUGUGAAAGCCCGGGGCUCAACCUCGGGACUGCAUUGGAAACUGUCGAUCUGGAGUACAGGAGGGGUAAGCGGAAUUCCUAGUGUAGCGGUGAAAUGCGUAGAUAUUAGGAGGAACACCGGUGGCGAAGGCGGCUUACUGGACUGUAACUGACGUUGAGGCUCGAAAGCGUGGGGAGCAAACAGGAUUAGAUACCCUG